This 2792-nucleotide ribosomal RNA is filed under the name Serratia marcescens. RNAcentral's name for it is "bacterial LSU rRNA". It matches the Rfam family "Bacterial large subunit ribosomal RNA". Lineage: Bacteria; Pseudomonadati; Pseudomonadota; Gammaproteobacteria; Enterobacterales; Yersiniaceae. The record is from RNAcentral.
UUAAGUGACUAAGCGUACACGGUGGAUGCCUAGGCAGUCAGAGGCGAUGAAGGGCGUGCUAAUCUGCGAAAAGCGUCGGUAAGGUGAUAUGAACCGUUAUAACCGGCGAUACCCGAAUGGGGAAACCCAGUGUGUUUCGACACACUAUCAUGUCAUGAAUACAUAGUGGCAUGAGGCGAACCGGGGGAACUGAAACAUCUAAGUACCCCGAGGAAAAGAAAUCAACCGAGAUUCCCCCAGUAGCGGCGAGCGAACGGGGAGGAGCCCAGAACCUGAAUCGGCUUGUGUGUUAGUGGAAGCGUCUGGAAAGUCGCGCAGCAAAGGGUGAUAGCCCCGUACACUAAAAUGCACAGGUCGUGAGUUCGAUGAGUAGGGCGGGACACGUGACAUCCUGUCUGAAUAUGGGGGGACCAUCCUCCAAGGCUAAAUACUCCUGACUGACCGAUAGUGAACCAGUACCGUGAGGGAAAGGCGAAAAGAACCCCGGCGAGGGGAGUGAAAUAGAACCUGAAACCGUGUACGUACAAGCAGUGGGAGCACCUUCGUGGUGUGACUGCGUACCUUUUGUAUAAUGGGUCAGCGACUUAUAUUUUGUAGCAAGGUUAACCGUAUAGGGGAGCCGUAGGGAAACCGAGUCUUAACUGGGCGAUUAGUUGCAAGGUAUAGACCCGAAACCCGGUGAUCUAGCCAUGGGCAGGUUGAAGGUUGGGUAACACUAACUGGAGGACCGAACCGACUAAUGUUGAAAAAUUAGCGGAUGACUUGUGGCUGGGGGUGAAAGGCCAAUCAAACCGGGAGAUAGCUGGUUCUCCCCGAAAGCUAUUUAGGUAGCGCCUCGUGAACUCAUCUUCGGGGGUAGAGCACUGUUUCGGCUAGGGGGCCAUCCCGGCUUACCAAACCGAUGCAAACUCCGAAUACCGAAGAAUGUUAUCACGGGAGACACACGGCGGGUGCUAACGUCCGUCGUGAAGAGGGAAACAACCCAGACCGCCAGCUAAGGUCCCAAAGUCAUGGUUAAGUGGGAAACGAUGUGGGAAGGCACAGACAGCCAGGAUGUUGGCUUAGAAGCAGCCAUCAUUUAAAGAAAGCGUAAUAGCUCACUGGUCGAGUCGGCCUGCGCGGAAGAUGUAACGGGGCUAAACCAUGCACCGAAGCUGCGGCAGCGACGCUUAGGCGUUGUUGGGUAGGGGAGCGUUCUGUAAGCCGUUGAAGGUGGCCUGUGAGGGUUGCUGGAGGUAUCAGAAGUGCGAAUGCUGACAUAAGUAACGAUAAAGCGGGUGAAAAGCCCGCUCGCCGGAAGACCAAGGGUUCCUGUCCAACGUUAAUCGGGGCAGGGUGAGUCGACCCCUAAGGCGAGGCUGAAAAGCGUAGUCGAUGGGAAACAGGUUAAUAUUCCUGUACUUGGUGUUACUGCGAAGGGGGGACGGAGAAGGCUAGGCUGGCCGGGCGACGGUUGUCCCGGUUUAAGCGUGUAGGGGGUGUGACCUGGUAAAUCCGGUUGCAUAUCAACCCUGAGGCGUGAUGACGAUGCACUACGGUGCAGAAGUAGUUGAUGCCCUGCUUCCAGGAAAAUCCUCUAAGCUCCAGGUAACAUUAAAUCGUACCCCAAACCGACACAGGUGGUCAGGUAGAGAAUACCAAGGCGCUUGAGAGAACUCGGGUGAAGGAACUAGGCAAAAUGGUGCCGUAACUUCGGGAGAAGGCACGCUGGCAUGUAGGUGAAGUCCCUUGCGGAUGGAGCUGAAGCCAGUCGAAGAUACCAGCUGGCUGCAACUGUUUAAUAAAAACACAGCACUGUGCAAACACGAAAGUGGACGUAUACGGUGUGACGCCUGCCCGGUGCUGGAAGGUUAAUUGAUGGGGUCAGCCGCAAGGCGAAGCUCUUGAUCGAAGCCCCAGUAAACGGCGGCCGUAACUAUAACGGUCCUAAGGUAGCGAAAUUCCUUGUCGGGUAAGUUCCGACCUGCACGAAUGGCGUAAUGAUGGCCAGGCUGUCUCCACCCGAGACUCAGUGAAAUUGAACUCGCUGUGAAGAUGCAGUGUACCCGCGGCAAGACGGAAAGACCCCGUGAACCUUUACUAUAGCUUGACACUGAACAUUGAGCCUUGAUGUGUAGGAUAGGUGGGAGGCUUUGAAGCGUGGACGCCAGUCUGCGUGGAGCCAUCCUUGAAAUACCACCCUUUAAUGUUUGAUGUUCUAACUCGGCCCCAUAAUCUGGGGUGAGGACAGUGUCUGGUGGGUAGUUUGACUGGGGCGGUCUCCUCCCAAAGAGUAACGGAGGAGCACGAAGGUUAGCUAAUCACGGUCGGACAUCGUGAGGUUAGUGCAAAGGCAUAAGCUAGCUUGACUGCGAGAGUGACGGCUCGAGCAGGUACGAAAGUAGGUCUUAGUGAUCCGGUGGUUCUGAAUGGAAGGGCCAUCGCUCAACGGAUAAAAGGUACUCCGGGGAUAACAGGCUGAUACCGCCCAAGAGUUCAUAUCGACGGCGGUGUUUGGCACCUCGAUGUCGGCUCAUCACAUCCUGGGGCUGAAGUAGGUCCCAAGGGUAUGGCUGUUCGCCAUUUAAAGUGGUACGCGAGCUGGGUUUAGAACGUCGUGAGACAGUUCGGUCCCUAUCUGCCGUGGGCGUUGGAAGAUUGAGAGGGGUUGCUCCUAGUACGAGAGGACCGGAGUGAACGCACCACUGGUGUUCGGGUUGUCAUGCCAAUGGCAUUGCCCGGUAGCUAAGUGCGGAAAAGAUAAGCGCUGAAAGCAUCUAAGCGCGAAACUUGCCUCAAGAUGAGUCUUCCCU